Molecule: ribosomal RNA, 121 nt
Filed under: Nannospalax galili (Upper Galilee mountains blind mole rat)
Lineage: Eukaryota; Metazoa; Chordata; Mammalia; Rodentia; Spalacidae
Source: RNAcentral
GUCUAUGGCCAUCCCACCCUGAAUGCACUUGCUCUGGUCUGAUCUCAGAAUCUAAGUAGAGUCAGGUCUGGUUAGCACUUGGAUGGGAAAGCACUCCUGACAAGACUUAGUUCCUCAGAAC